GAUUUCUGCCCAGUGAAUUCAAUGUAAAAAUGAAGAAAUUCAAUAUAGGCAGGUAAAUGGUAGAAUAACUAUUAGUCUUCUAAAGUAGCUGUAGGGUAAAGAAUUAUUUUACAUAAAGUAAGUCUUUGCCCUUGGUUCCUAAGGGACAAUCCUUGGGAUUUCUUAAGUAACUGAGAUGCCUUUGAUUCUCUUAAAAGAAACCAAAUGCCUCACUGUCUAAUUAGAGACACACAUGAAUGAGU
RNAcentral lists this non-coding RNA (242 nucleotides) under Loxodonta africana (African savanna elephant). RNAcentral's name for it is "Eukaryotic large subunit ribosomal RNA". It matches the Rfam family "Eukaryotic large subunit ribosomal RNA", at positions 2194 to 2325 of the family's 3401-position model. Lineage: Eukaryota; Metazoa; Chordata; Mammalia; Proboscidea; Elephantidae. The record is from Rfam by way of RNAcentral.